AGCUCCAAUAGCGUAUAUUAAAGUUGUUGCGGUUAAAAAGCUCGUAGUUGGAUUUCUGUUGAAGGCAGCCGGUCCGCUCUCGGAGCGUGUAUCUGGUUUGACUUCGGCAUCCUCUCAAAAUACGUUUCUGCGCUUGAUUGCGUGGAGCGGAGUUUGAGACUUUUACUUUGAGGAAAUUAGAGUGUUCACGGCAGGCAAUCGCCUUGAAUAUAUUAGCAUGGAAUAAUAAUAUAGGAUCUUGGUUCUAUUUUGUUGGUUUCUAGAGCUAAGAUAAUGAUUAAUAGGGACAAUUGGGGGCAUUCGUAUUAACGCGUCAGAGGUGGAAUUCUUGGAUUGCGUUACGACGAACUACUGCGAAAGCAUUUGCCAAGGAUGUUUUCA
RNAcentral lists this ribosomal RNA (381 nucleotides) under uncultured eukaryote. Its description in RNAcentral is "SSU rRNA". It matches the Rfam family "Eukaryotic small subunit ribosomal RNA", at positions 587 to 972 of the family's 1831-position model. The record is from RNAcentral.